Molecule: long non-coding RNA, 734 nt
Filed under: Olea europaea (common olive)
Lineage: Eukaryota; Viridiplantae; Streptophyta; Magnoliopsida; Lamiales; Oleaceae
Description: long non-coding RNA (OEUR_LNC008148)
Source: RNAcentral
AGAGCAUGAAAUGAAUACGAGGGUAUGGUACAAGAUUGGUCUGGAACUCAGUAACAUCCACAUUAAUGGCCCCAUCAAACCGUAAAGAAGUGGUCAAGGACGAUAUGAUCUGAGAAAUCAACCGGUUCAAAUUGGUAUAGGUGGGCCUCUCGAUAUCUAGAGAUCUCCGACAAAUAUCAUAAAUUGCUUCAUUGUCCAGUAGCACAGCGACAUCUGUGUGUUCAAGAAGGGAAUGAGUUGAGAGAACACUGUUAUAAGGCUCCACAACAGCAGUGGACACCUGCAAUUGAUAUCAAAAACAUGUCUAAGUCACGUAGAACAACUGAGGGCUAAUAUACCUACAGCUAUAUGCAGUUCACAUUGGAAGUUACUUAUCAAAAAGUGUUGAAAUUCAGUCUACAAAAGCAUUAAAAGUUUCAAAAUAUAUUCAUAAAGCUUUGCUGCUUUUUAUAGAGGACAACUGCAACCAUGAAUGGUCACCGAAAAACUAAUAGGUAGAGGAUUGAGGCAACUAUUAGAAUGUUAACUUUAAGCACCUGAGGAGAAGGAUAGAUGGUGAAGCCAAGCUUUGACUUUUUGCCAUAGUCCACAGACAAACGUUCCAAAAGAAGAGAACCUAAUCCAGAACCAGUACCACCACCAACAGCAUUGAACACCAAAAAUCCUUGCAAACCUGUGCAAUUAUCGGCCAACUUCCUCACUCUGUCCAGACAUACAUCAACAAUCUCUUUCCC